AGCCCAACUCUAGCCCAACCAUAGCCCCAACAGCAAGCAACCAAAACUCACUUACCACUAGAACUAAAGCAUUCCUUCAACUUAGUAUAGGCGAUAGAAAAGACACUUGGCGCGAUAGAAACCUAUGUACCGCAAGGGAAAGAUGAAAUAGCAAUGAAAGACUAAAGCAACAAACAGCAAAGAUAAACCCUUAUACCUCUUGCAUCAUGGUUUAGCAAGAAACAACCAAGCAAAACGAACUAAAGCUUGUCACCCCGAAACCCAAGCGAGCUACUCACAAGCAGCUACAUUUGAGCGAACCCGUCUCUGUUGCAAAAGAGUGGGAUGACUUGUUAGUAGAGGUGAAAAGCCAACCGAGCUGGGUGAUAGCUGGUUGCCUGUGAAACGAAUCUAAGUUCCUCCUCGAUUUUUCCAAACAGACAUCACGACCUAAACUGCCCUGAAAAGCAAAAUCAAGAGUAAUUUAAGGAGGUACAGCUCCUUUAAAAAGAAUACAAUCUCCUCUAGCGGAUACAUCUUCCACCCAAGAACCGUAGGCCUUAAGCAGCCACCAACGAAGAGUGCGUAAAGCUCACCUUAAAAAAAUUUAAAAGCAAUACGACUCCCUUUCCCCUAACAGGCCAACCUAUGACAAUAGGAGAAUUAAUGCUAAAAUAAGUAACUAGGGACCCCCCCCCCUCUUUUAAGCGCAAGCUUACAUUAUCACAUUAUUAACAGACUACAGCUAAUGUCGAAAACUAACAAGACUAAGCAUUAAACACCCUGUUAACCCAACCCAGGGGCGCCCUAUUAGAAAGAUUAAAACCUAUAAAAGGAACUAGGCAAACCCAAGGCCCGACUGUUUACCAAAAACAUAGCCUUCAGCCUAACAAGUAUUGAAGGUGAUGCCUGCCCAGUGACCCAACGUUCAACGGCCGCGGUAUCCUAACCGUGCAAAGGUAGCGCAAUCAAUUGUCUCAUAAAUCGAGACUUGUAUGAAUGGCUAAACGAGGCCUUAACUGUCUCUCAUAGGUAAUCAGUGAAAUUGAUCUUCCUGUGCAAAAGCAGGAAUAAACACAUAAGACGAGAAGACCCUGUGGAACUUAAAAAUCAGCGACCACUACCCACCACACCCCAAGCCUACCAGGCCCACCGAACCCCCGAAAACUGGUCCGCAUUUUUCGGUUGGGGCGACCUUGGAGAAAAACAAACCCUCCACAAACCAAGACCACACCUCUUAACCAAGAGCAACCCCUCAACGUACUAAUAGUAACCUAGACCCAGUACAACUGACCAAUGAACCAAGCUACCCCAGGGAUAACAGCGCAAUCCCCUUCAAGAGCCCGUAUCGACAAGGGGGUUUCGACCUCGAUGUUGGAUCAGGACAUCCUAAUGGUGCAGCCGCUAUUAAGGGUUCGUUUGUUCAACGAUUAACAGUCCUACGUGAUCUGAGUUCAGACCGGAGUAAUCCAGGUCGGUUUCUAUCUAUGACUAAACCUUCCCCAGUACGAAAGGACCGGGAAAGUGAGGCCAAUACCCCAAGCACGCCUCCCCUCUCAAGUAAUGAGCCCAACUAAAUUACCAAGAGGGCCCCUCCUCACAAUCCCAGAUAAGGACCG
Molecule: ribosomal RNA, 1598 nt
Filed under: Balearica regulorum (grey crowned-crane)
Lineage: Eukaryota; Metazoa; Chordata; Aves; Gruiformes; Gruidae
Description: 16S ribosomal RNA
Rfam family: Bacterial large subunit ribosomal RNA
Source: RNAcentral